This 388-nucleotide ribosomal RNA is filed under the name uncultured bacterium. Its description in RNAcentral is "bacterial SSU rRNA". It matches the Rfam family "Bacterial small subunit ribosomal RNA", at positions 28 to 417 of the family's 1533-position model. The record is from RNAcentral.
GACGAACGCUGGCGGCGUGCUUAACACAUGCAAGUCGAGCGGUAAGGCCCUUUCGGGGGUACGCGAGUGGCGAACGGGUGAGUAACACGUGGGUGACCUGCCCUCAGCUCUGGGAUAAGCCUGGGAAACCGGGUCUAAUACCGGAUAUGACUCCAUGACGCAUGUUGUGGGGUGGAAAGCCUUGUGCGGCUGAGGAUGGGCCCGCGGCCUAUCAGCUUGUUGGUGGGGUGAUGGCCUACCAAGGCGACGACGGGUAGCCGGCCUGAGAGGGCGACCGGCCACACUGGGACUGAGACACGGCCCAGACUCCUACGGGAGGCAGCAGUGGGGAAUCUUGCGCAAUGGGCGAAAGCCUGACGCAGCGACGCCGCGUGAGGGAUGACGGCCU